AUUCGACCAGUGUUUUCCAAGCACCUCGCACGAGCCAGGAACUGCUUGUGCUUUGGGACUGAAACGGCCACAACAUGGGCCACAGGCUCUGUCCCCGAGCAGCUUCCAGGUGGGGUGACUUGGAGGAUGUGUCCUGUGGGGGGUGAGGACCUCAGGACUGCCUGUGGGAAGGGGGAGGAGGCUGUCAAACUGCGUCUCUGGGGAAGGUCUUCCCAAGAAGGCAGCCUCUCAACAGACACCCUGCAAAGGGGGCGAGAAGCCAGCGUGUGCUCAGGGACAGCCAGAGGCUGGGUGCUGGAGGGGCAGGAGGUGAGCCUGGAGGGUGCGGGGGGAGGGGCCCACCUCUAGGGCCUCUGUAGGAUCUUGGCCUUGCCCCUGCCCUCCCCUGCACUGAGAUGGGUUUUGAGCAUGGGUGACCAAGGCUCACCAAGAAAGGAGUGCAGAGGUCAAGGUCGAGGGCAGUGACUUGGCUUCUCCGAGCCCCACUUUCCUCUUCCGCGCACAAGAUGACGACGACGGUGCCCGCUCACAGCUUUCUUGUGUAAAGAAACGUGUAACUGGGUGAAAUAACACAGGCGGUGCGCUUGCCUUCGUGUCUGCUCCAAGGAUGCGCCCCCGACCCGCGUCACUCCCACGGCUCGCUGCUUGCUGCCUGUUACCGACGACUCGCACUCAGCACCCAGCACCUUUACUCUGCGUACCUUAAACACACCCCCGAGUGUCCCCGUCUUCCCCGGAGGUGGGAGGGGAGGACGGACCUGCUGGAGCUCCUCGGGAAGCCCCCGGCAUGAGGGACGCUGGGGGCAUCACUACAAACUCCCACUGGUUCCCUCAGACCUAAACUAACCCCCGGGGACUGCGGCGGGCAGAGUAACGGCCCCUGGAGACGCCCCCAGCCGGGGCCGGGCUGCUUCACGGGCCGACGGCGGCAGGGUAGCAGGUGGUCGCUCAUCGGCUGCUGUGAGGCGUGCAGAGCCACCUGCAGUCGCUGGGGUCCUUGGACACCGGCGAGGGAGGCAGGCGGAAGAGCAUCUGGGAUGGGAGGACUCAGCGGGCUCUCGGCGGCACUCGCUCGGCCGGGGACAGAGGACGGCCCCGGGGCUGAGGAACACGGCAGCUCCGGGAGCGGAAAGGGCAGGGAAAGGGAUUCUCCCCGGAGCCUCCAGAAGGAACGCGGCCCUGCUGACAUCUCGAUUUUCGUCCAAUGAGACUCAUUUCGGACUUCCGACUUCCAGACGUGUAAGGACACCCCUUCCUCGGAGUAAAUGCUACGGAACUACAUGGGUCGGGGUUGAAUCCACGGAUUCAGAAUCUCAAAUACGGGUGAGGGGGCGACAUACGUUAUGCAAGGAUCUCCACCUGGGAGGCGGGUAGAUGCCCAACCCCUCCUGUGCAACUGUGUUAAAACUGCUCCGCCCACGGCGACUGGAGCACGCGUGCCCACGUGUGGCCGGGACUCUGAUGGGAGGGGCACUUUCUCCUCUGGCGGCAGGACUUUUCUCGCAUGGACAGAAAAUAAGCGACAGCGUCCGCCUGCCUCUGCUGGGUUCUUCCGGGGCACUUAUGCCCUCUGCUCGGGAGGCCCGCACGUGUAGGUGAAUGUCGUGGACAGUGCAUCGUGGGAGGCCAGAGAAGUGGCGGAAGGGGAGAGAUGCCUCCACCUAGUGCCGUGCCGAGACCUCGGAAGUGAUUCCUUCCUCGAUUCUGGUCCAGUGAAGACUCUCCAACUGGUCCUUACACACCCACGGCCAUGGCCAAGCACACGGAAUUAAGCCAUAGCUCGGGUCAGAAAAUUCCUUCAGGCUGGUGGUGAGUUGAAAUGCACCCCCAAAUCUGUAUUCUGAAGGUCGAACCCCAGUUCCUAGGACGUGGGCUUACUUGGAUCAAGAUCAUUGCAGAUGUCAGGAGGAAGAUGAGGUCCAACCUGGGGGAAGUGGAUGCUACUCCAGUGUCACCGCUAUCCUUAUAAAAAGGGGAAAUCUGGACGCAGCACACACAGAAAUGACACCGUGUGAAGAGGAAGCCAGAGGUGGAGGUGACGUUUCUAUCAACGGAGGAAAACCCAGAUGGCCAGCAGCUACCAGAGGCUGGGAGAGUCCCGGGUCAGAUUCUCGAAGCCGCAGAAGGAACCACCCGGGUCUCAAACUUCCAGCCUCCAGAUUCAGAUAAUGAGCUCCUACGGGCUAAGCCCUGGCCUGCAGGAUUUCGUCAUGACCCCAGCAAACUACCGCAGGCCUCUUUCCCCAGGUCGUGGUUGACCCACCAGCUUGGCUUCCGAGCAGAUUGCUCCUCUCCUGGCAGCGUUGGGGUCUGGAGCCUGGAUUUCCACCACCCCUUUCCGUUCUGACUCAGGGUUCCCACCCACUCCCUUUGGUGCCAACUUCCCGUAGCAAACUCACAUCCUCUCUGAGUCCCACUUUCCAAUCUUCAGGUAGAACAAGCCACCCUCUCCUUCCACUCUGCCCCCUGACCCGUCCAUACCAGCUUUUUCACGCCUUCUGGUCUCAGGACCUCUUUCACACAAACCCCAGUGCAAGCACCGUAUCUCCAGAGACUGACUGCAGAGGCAUCUUUGAAGAUCCACUGUCUGCUAUGAAGCCAGACAUUAAAGAGGUUUGCAAAAUGUAAACCAAUGCCACUCUCUAAUUUUUUUGUUUUUGAAAACAUAGUUAUUUUUCAUGGCAAUAUGUUGUUUAUACUUAUACAUAAUAAGUUUAUUACUGUUCUUUUAGAUGAAUUCAUAAGUGGUUUUAAAUUUUUGCAAAGUUAAUUUUGAACAUGAUUAUAUGUCAAUAUUAAUAGAUAAAAUA
Molecule: long non-coding RNA, 2810 nt
Filed under: Sus scrofa (pig)
Lineage: Eukaryota; Metazoa; Chordata; Mammalia; Artiodactyla; Suidae
Description: lncRNA (ENSSSCG00025020152.1, ENSSSCG00035067292.1)
Source: RNAcentral